GACGAACGCUGGCGGCGUGCCUAAUACAUGCAAGUCGAACGAAGCUGUUUUAACUGGUGCUUGCACCGACUUAAACAACUGAGUGGCGAACGGGUGAGUAACACGUGGGUAACCUGCCCCAAAGCGGGGGAUAACAUUUGGAAACAGAUGCUAAUACCGCAUAACCACAGAAACCACAUGGUUUCUGUGUCAAAGAUGGUUUCGGCUAUCACUUUGGGAUGGACCCGCGGCGUAUUAGCUAGUUGGUAAGGUAAUGGCUUACCAAGGCAAUGAUACGUAGCGGAACUGAGAGGUUGAUCGGCCACAUUGGGACUGAGACACGGCCCAAACUCCUACGGGAGGAAGCAGUAGGGAAUCUUCCACAAUGGACGAAAGUCUGAUGGAGCAACGCCGCGUGAGUGAAGAAGGUUUUCGGAUCGUAAAACUCUGUUGUCAGAGAAGAACGUGUGCGAGAGUAACUGUUCGUGCAGUGACGGUAUCUGGCCAGAAAGCCACGGCUAACUACGUGCCAGCCGCCGCAGUAA
This 524-nucleotide ribosomal RNA is filed under the name uncultured bacterium. RNAcentral describes it as "partial 16S ribosomal RNA". It matches the Rfam family "Bacterial small subunit ribosomal RNA", at positions 28 to 523 of the family's 1533-position model. The record is from RNAcentral.